RNAcentral lists this ribosomal RNA (249 nucleotides) under uncultured bacterium. RNAcentral's name for it is "partial 16S ribosomal RNA". It matches the Rfam family "Bacterial small subunit ribosomal RNA", at positions 523 to 769 of the family's 1533-position model. The record is from RNAcentral.
AUACGUAGGUGGCAAGCGUUGUCCGGAAUUAUUGGGCGUAAAGGGCGUGUAGGUGGAUGUUUAAGUCGUGUGUCUAAGUGCGGGGCUCAACCCCGUAUAGGCGCAGGAAACUGGAGAUCUUGAGUGCAGGAGAGGAAAGUGGAAUUCCCAGUGUAGCGGUGAAAUGCGUAGAUAUUGGGAGGAACACCAGUGGCGAAGGCGUACUUUCUGGACUGUGUCCGACACUGAGGCGACGAAAGCCAGGGGAGC